This 15559-nucleotide long non-coding RNA is filed under the name Populus trichocarpa (black cottonwood). RNAcentral's name for it is "long non-coding RNA (PTRI_LNC002581)". Lineage: Eukaryota; Viridiplantae; Streptophyta; Magnoliopsida; Malpighiales; Salicaceae. The record is from RNAcentral.
CCGCCUUUCAGACUUGGGUCUUGAGGGCCAGUUCCCCCCUGGAAUCCAGAAUUGCACAAGCUUGACUGGCUUGAAUCUUUCGCAGAACCAGCUAUCUGGCUCAAUCCCUGCUAAUAUAGCAAAGUUUAUCCCCUAUAUUACAAACCUUGAUCUUUCAUUCAACAAUUUUUCGGGUGGAAUUCCACAAAAUCUUGCAAAUUGUAGUUUCUUGAAUGAUCUCAAACUUGACAACAACCGGCUAACAAGCAAGAUUCCGCCGGAAUUUGGCCUGCUUGAUCGGAUCAAGGUAUUUACGGUUACCAACAAUCUUCUAUCAGGGCCGAUCCCCUCAUUUAUCCAUAAUAACAUCCCAGCUGAUAGCUUUGCAAAUAAUCUGGACCUCUGUGGGAAGCCAUUGAAUUCCUCCUGUCCAGGUGUCGCAAGGAAAUCCCAUGUUGGAGUAUUUGCUGCAUCAGCCGCUGGCGGGAUAACAUUUACAUCAAUUAUUGUUGGUGUCUUUCUGUUCUUGUCUCGCGGAGCGGCUAAGAAGAAGGCGGAGGAUCCUGAAGGCAACAGAUGGGCAAAGAGCAUCAAGGGAACCAAAGGCAUCAAGGCAAGCUAUCUAGCUCAUCAUGUUCAAUGGAUAUACUGUGUUUUUUUCUGGCAUAGGAAUUGAAUUUCUGUUCUUUUUUCUGGUCAUGCUAACUCAUCGAUGAUUUCAUUUUUUAUUUGACGCAACAAAAUAUCUAACAGCAAAGAUUCUGUUAUCAACAGGUUUCCAUGUUUGAGAAAUCGGUUUCAAAAAUGAGAUUGAGUGAUCUCAUGAAGGCAACCAACGACUUCAGUAAUAACAACAUCAUUGGAGCAGGAAGAACAGGACCGAUGUACAAGGCAGUGAUUUCUGAUGGUUGUUUCCUUAUGCUUAAGAGAUUGCAAGGCUCUCAGCGUUUAGAGAAAGAGUUUGUAUCAGAGAUGAAGACACUUGGGAAUGUGAAACACCGAAAUUUGGUCCCGCUGCUGGGCUUUUGUGUGGCAAAGAGGGAGAGAUUUUUGGUGUAUAAAUUCAUGGAAAAUGGGACCCUUUAUGAUAAACUGCACCCAGUGGAACCUGAGAUCAGGAACAUGGAUUGGUCCCUGAGGCUCAAAAUUGCAAUUGGAGCGGCUAGAGGUUUGGCAUGGCUUCAUUAUGACUGCAAUCCACGAAUUAUCCACAGGAACAUAAGCUCCAAAUGCAUACUCUUGGAUAACGAUUUUGAGCCAAAGUUAUCUGAUUUUGGCCUUGCCAGACUCAUGAACCGAAUCGACACACAUUUGAGAGCUUUUGUCAAUGGGGAGUUUGGGGGGUUGGAUUAUGUUGCUCCUGAAUAUCUAAGGACCCUUGUUGCAACGCCCAAGGGGGAUGUUUAUAGCUUUGGUGUGGUUCUCCUGGAGUUGAUCACUGGUGAAAAGCCCACUCAUGUUGCUAAUGCCCCUGAAAGCUUCAAGGGAAGUUUAGUGGAGUGGAUCAGACAACUGACAGAUGGUCCGCUUCUUCAUACUUCCAUUGACAAGCCUUUGCUUGGAAAUGGAUUCGAUCACGAACUCAACCAGUUUCUUAAAGUUGCUUGUAACUGUGUGGUUGAGAAUGCCAAGGAGAGACCAACAAUGUUUGAGGUGCAUCAGCUCCUCAGAGCUAUUGGGGAGAGAUACCAUUUCACAACUGAAGAUGAUAUUAUGUUGCCAACUGAUACAGGUGACACUGAUUUCCCGGAUGAACUUAUUGUUGCCGAUGCAACAAAGGAAGUUUAAUGAAUAACAGAGGUUAAGAUUGAUAGAAAAGAGUCUGAGGCCAUCAAUCGGCACUCGUGAAAAUAUAUUCUACGUUAUAGCUGUGAUCAUAUAGGUAUAGUGUGAGUGUUUGUAACUAUAUUUGUAGCAUUUCAAGCACCUGCUUUGGUUGAAACACCAACUUUAUAUAUACCGUUGUCCAAUUAUCAUAAAAUCUUGCUCAUUUAUCCUCGUACAUAGACAAUUUCUUUGUUGGAUGUUGAGAGUCGAUAAAUAAACUUGCUUAAGUAGUCGAGGUGUUUGUCUGUAAGCCUUUCGGUUUUCUAGUAUUUUCUUUUUAUUUUUCCCUCCAAAGUGAUAUUGUAUCAUAAGCAAGUAUGCAACUUUAUUACUCAGUAAUUUCAAGCAUCCGAGUAUUGUUGCCUGGCCUGGACCCAAAAAGCAGAAUAAGGAGAUCCUUUGUCACCAUGAGGAAGAGUAAUAUUUUUUUUAGAAAUUCUCCAGUUCUUAUAUUUUAUUUUUCUUACAAAAAAAAUACUAAACUUAAAGUUUUUAGUCCAUGUUUUUUUUACAAUGAAUACAGUUACAAACUAGUCCCCAAUAAAAAAAAAUUUCAAUUUAGUGAAGUAGCAUGUCGUUUAACUAAAACUUAGUAGCAUGUCGUUUGACUGAAACUUUUAGUAUCCAAUAAAAAAUGGGAAUGCCAUUUCUGAAGAAUAGAAGGUUUAAGAAUAUGAGAACAAUUGUUUAGGCAAGACUCCUAAAUUUACUCUCGUAUUUGUGUUAAUUAUUCAUUUUUAUUCUUAUGUUUUUUAUUAUGUUUUGUAAAUUUUUUCAGUUAAUCCUAGUGAUUUCUAAUUUUUUCUAAUAAACCCAGUAAUUAACUUACAUUAAGUCUUGAUUUUACCAUGCAUGUCGAUGUAACUUUAUUUAUUUUUCACUCUUGUAUUUUUAAUUCGAUCAAUUAACUUUUGUGUUUUUUGAAGUAGUUUUUUUAAUCCUUGUGUUCUCUGAACGUGUUGGCUUUGACUCAAUACCUGGUUUUUAAAAGGGUGUUGUUUGUUUUUUUAGAUGUUUUUUAAAAGUAUUUUUUUUAAUAUAAAAUUAAUAUUUUUUAGUGUUUUUUUGAUAAUUUUAAUGUAUUUAUAUUAAAAAAUAAAAAAAAUUAUUUUAUUUUAUUUUUAAAUAAAAAACACUCUGCAUCAAAGUGUUGGAUACACUCUAAUAAGAAUAUAUUUGAUAUUGGAGUAACGAUUAUUUUUCAAAGUGUUUUUUAUUUGAAAAUAUAUCAAAAUCAUAUUUUUUAUAAAAAAAAUUAUUUUUAACAUCAACAUAUUAAAAUAAUUUAAAAAUACUAAAAAUUUAAUUUAAAAUUAAAAAAAUAAUGGUUUUCAAAAACAGUUUUAAAAUACAAAGUCUACGCUACGGCUUCAUGUUAACCAUGCAUGUUAAUAGUGUUGAAAUUAAAUACUUUUUAUCGCGAGAUGACUUUUAUAUUCAUAUGGGGUCUGAACCUUCAAUUAGCUAUGGAGCCAAUUGAACAUAAAAAAAAAAAAAAAAAAUAAACUGAUUCAAGGAAUAAAAAAUGAAAAAGAAAAUAAUUUUAUAUUACGAAACACACGCAUGAUAUUUCAUUGUCUCGAAGAAAAAAAUAAAGAGACAGACUGGCGGCUAUGAGAAAUCCAGAGUGAGAGGAAAGAGAGGAGAAACUGCAUUGCUUUGCACUUUGCAGAGUUGAUCAUCCCAGGAUUGGACACGCAACCAAUGGCAGUCAAUGCCAUGAUUGCCGCGAAGAAAUGACAGAGAGCCAAAAAAAUGUUAGAACGUAGAGGACCAGAUUAUAAUUAAUAAGUAUUCUUGUCGAAAAAAAUGUUAUUUGUAACCAUGUUUUAUAUUUACGGAAAGUAAUUUUUUUAGAGAGUGAUUUCUUUUAGAAAAUAGAUUUUUCAACAAAAAUUAUUUUCUGAUAUUUAUAGGAUCAUAAAAAAAUAAAUUGAAAAAUAUUUUUAGUAUUUAGUUAUGUAAUGAAAAAUAAGUUGGAAAAUAUCUUAUUAAUAAAUGUUUUUUAAAUUUAUUAAAAUAAUAAGAAAUAAAUCUUACAAAUAAAAAAUUUGAAUAAGAAUAAAAUUUUAAAAAAUAUAUCUAAUUUCAUAAAUUAUUUUACAUAAAAUAAAUAAUAAUUAAAAUAAUAAAGAUCAAGUUUAAUAGAUAAAAAAUAAUAAAAUAAUAAAAUUUAAAAAAAUACAAUGAAAAAAAGUUAAAGCCGUUGAUGAUUUAUCCCAUUAUAUUUAUCCAAUUAUUAAGAUUUUAUAAAUUAUUUUAAAUAAAAUAAAUAACAAUCAAAAAAAUAAAGAUCAAAUCCGAUAGAUAAAAAGUUUCAAUUAAAAAAUUAUAAGAGAAAAGCAAAUAAAAAUCAUAAAAAUAAAAAUAAGGACCAAAAUUGAUAUAAAAAUCAAAUUCUAAUGGAUGAAAUUGAAAAAAUAAAACAAAAUAUAUAUAAUAAUCAAAAGUUUGAGGACUAAAUUUGAUAUAGUCAGUAAAUAACAUGACAUUUCUAAAUUUUUAACAACUUCUGAAAAAUAUUUUUCCGUCUAAGUCUAAAAUAGAAGGAACAUAUUUUUUUCCGAAAACAAAGCUAAUUUUUUUUAAAAAAAAAAUAUUUUUUGUUUAUUAACUUUUUUAAUAAUAAAUACACACAUAAAAGUUUUAAAAAAUAAUUUAAAAAAACCACUUUCCAUGAAAGUAACCUUGACAGUGAAAUCAUCGUUAUUAAAUAACUGCCUUUAUUAUAAAAAAAAUAUCAUAUGACGUUGGUUGAUGGUAGCGCAUAAAUCAUAGGUUAAAAAUAUUCUCAUAAGCAGCUUCGCGAGACACCAUAGAAGAGAUUUAACUACUUGAACAAAUGUCCAUUUCGCAAAUUAAAUAAUUUUAUUUUCUCGGAUCUGUAAAUAAACGUCAUUUUAUGUUUAUUUUUUCAUUUUUUUUUUAUCACCACAUCCUUAAAAAUUAAAAAUUUAUGUGUCAUAACCAUCUAGGUGGUGGCUCAGUGGUAAGAGCUUGAGACCAAGAUGUUUACUCUCUCUGUGGUCUCAGGUUCGAGCCAUGUGGUUGCUCAUAUGAUGGCCACUGGAGGCUUACAUGGUCGUUAACUUCAGAACCCGUGGGAUUAGUCGAGGUGCGCGCAAGCUGACCCGGACACCCACGUUAAACUAAAAAAAAAAAAUUUUAUGUGUCAUGUUUUUACAUCAUGAAAUUUUUGUUAUGUAUAUCUUGAUUAGAGAUGAGAAAAAAACUGAAAAACCGAUUAAAUCUAGAUAACCGGAAAAAAAUAAUUGAAAAAAAACCAUUUAGAUCAUUUAAAAUUUUAUAAAAAUUUUGAAAACCGGAAAUUUUUAUUACGUAUAUCUUGAUCUCUUUUUUUUUUUUUUUAGAAAUUCUCUUCAGUUCCUGUAUUUUAUUUUUCCUGCAAAAACAAUUUCUUAACUUAAAGUUUUUAGUCCAUGUUUUUUUUACAAUGAAUACAGUUACAAACUAGUCCCCAAUAAUUUUAUUUUUUCAAUUUAGUUCUUAAAUAUCAAAUCAUAAACUUUGUCGAGAUUCUUCAAAUAGAUAUAAAUUAUUAUAGGAAACAAAAGUAAACAAAAUCACAAUAAUAUCAAUCACAGUCAUGAAAAGUAAUCACAUCCAUGACCAAUUGAACCAAUAAAAAAUUAUCAAGAAAUUCAAGUACCGUUACGAGACAAAUUCGUUCUUAUAAUAUCAUAUAUUUAUUAUACUAUUUUUCUGCUUUUAUUUUUCAUCUCAACUUCUUUGGACUAAAAGCAGGAAAUAAUUUUUUGCAGGAGGAAGGAAAUUCUUAGAGUAAAUAUCGAUAUUACAUUAAAUAAAAUCUAUUUUUUAAACGAGCACAUCUAUUUAAAUUUAUCUAACCCUUACUUUAUUCAUCAAUUCAUUUAAAUUAUUUGAUAAAUUCUGAAUGUUAGAUGUCGUCAUCUAGAUUGAUGAAAAUACAAGAAAUUCAAACCUAACCUAGUUUAUUAAAAAAAAAUCAUGUAAAAAAUAAAUUUUAACAUAACAAGACAUUUCUUUAAUAAAUAAGGUGGGAUUUGAGUUUUUUAAGUAAGUGUUUGCAUGAAAAUAUAUAUUAGAAGAAUAUAUUGGAGAGUAACUAAAUAAAUAUAAAUUAAAAAUAAUUAGACUUGUAAAGAUAGAUUUGAGAUGGAUCUAAAAUAUAAAAAUGAACUGAAAUAAUUUUUAUAAAAAAAGAAAAUCCUAUUUGUUUGGUUUAUAAAUAUGACACGAAAUCCAACCCAGUCCAUGUUAUCGGGAUGGGAAUUAGUCAAAUAUCCUUACUUCUUUUCCGAGGGACUGGAAACACAUGCUAGAUAUGAUAAUUUUUCUAGUGAGAGUAAUUCCUUUGCAUUUUAUAUUCUAUUUCUCACUACUUUGACAAGAAUCCUGUGGUUAAAACAUCACAAGUUCCUUUUUUUUAUUAUUAUUAUUAUUAGUGGUUAAAAAGCAAGGAUGAUACUAGUGAUCUAAAAAGGAGAAGUAGCCAAGAAAUAAUGGCAUGAGGUUGUCAAUGGUGCGAAUAUGAAAUGGACUAGCCCAAGACUUAUCCCUGUGCUCAGUUUGAACCCGGCGACAGAAAUUGUGGUGAGAUUAAUGAGUGAAUAUGAAUGAAUGGCUUAACUGAAGGGGAAAGACUCAUUCAACACAGCUUGCCUGAUCCGUAAGGAGUUCAGUGUUCACAACUUCCCAUUAGCACAAAGAAAUUGUUUUGAUGUGACUUUAUUAGAGGAGAGGUCAUGACUCAUGCCUGGCCAAGCCCAUCGUGCAAGCAACCAGAGAAAGUAGGGCUGUGUGUGUGUGUGUGUGUGUGUGUGUGUGUGUGUGUUAUUACAAGAUGGUUUGUUUUCAUGUCGAACAGUCAAUUCAUUACCACUACCCGACUCAUCAGUUUUCCACAGAUUAGAACAGUUCUGCGCGUCAUUGGUCCGAAUUUUCAAACCAAAGACUUUUCUCCAUUCACUUUUUUCACUUUGGACCCUUGUGUGUGCUUCGGGUUGUUGGAAAGCAAGAAGACUUGUACAUUAAAGUCUUCUUUGAAGGGGAAAAAAAAAUGAUGUUUCCUACCUCUUUCUCUUGUUAAAAUCAAAUCAACUCAACCCCAUCUCCACGUUUUCAGUGUUAUAAUAACUGUGUUCUUUCUCUUCAUUUUUUUCCUCAUUCUCCUUGCAGCAUUCUUCUUGCUUGGUGACUUCUUAUAUGCUCCACACUUCCAUUUCAUCAUCAUCAUCAUCUUCAUCUGGGUAUGUCUCAAAUCUUGUUUUCUUUCAGUGAAUCUCUGAGAUAAGUGAAUUGGGAUUUUAGUGGAUUGUUUAAGAUUCGAGGUUGUUUGUUUGUUGACUUCUCUUUUGCUUUUUCCAAAUUACAUAUUGUUCUGGUGGAUCACUAGUAAAAUUGGAUUGUGUUUUUGGUGGAGUAGUUAGACCUUCUUUCUUGGAUAUAUAGAGAUGGGUUUGAGUGUUUUAUUUAGUAGUACAACUUAGCGAGAACCCUUCACUUUGUAGAUUCCGUUUUGGGCCAGGGACAGAAAGUUUGAGGAUUUUUUUCCCCUUGCUAAUGGCAUUGAGCGAGAAAAAUCCUAUGGUUGUUGCCCAUAUUUUGAUUGGGAUGGUUUUGGUUUUGCUGAGUAGUAGAAUAUCUGUGAGUAAUGCUACUGAGACUGAUUUAGCGUGCUUGAAAUCCAUCAAAGCUUCUCUGGUGGACCCUAAUAACUACUUGAACACUACAUGGAAUUUCAACAACAAUACUGAAGGCUUCAUAUGUAGAUUUAUGGGCAUUGAUUGCUGGCACCCUGACGAGAACAGAGUUCUAAAUAUCCGCCUUUCAGACUUGGGUCUUGAGGGCCAGUUCCCCCUUGGAAUCAAGAAUUGCACAAGCUUGACUGGCUUGGAUCUUUCGCACAACAAGCUAUCUGGCUCAAUCCCUGAUAAUAUCUCAGAUCUUAUCCACUAUAUUACAAACCUUGAUCUUUCAUUCAACAAUUUUUCGGGUGGAAUUCCAAAAAAUCUUGCAAAUUGUAGUUUCUUGAAUGAUCUCAAACUUGACAACAACCGGCUAACAGGCAAGAUUCCGCUGGAACUUGGCCUUCUUGAUCGGAUCAAGGAAUUUACGGUUACCAACAAUCUUCUAUCAGGGCAGAUCCCCUCAUUUGUCCAUAAUAACAUCCCAGCUGAUAGCUUUGCAAAUAAUCUGGACCUCUGUGGAAAGCCAUUGAGUACCUGUCCAGCUGUCGCGAGGAAAUCCCAUGUUGGAGUAAUUGCUGCAUCAGCCGCUGGCGGGAUAACAUUUACAUCAAUUAUUGUUGGUGUCUUUCUGUUCUACUUGUCUCGCGGAGCGGCUAAGAAGAAGGCGGAGGAUCCUGAAGGUAACAGAUGGGCAAAGAGCAUCAAGGGAACCAAAGGCAUCAAGGCAAGCUAUCUAGCUCAUCAUGUUCAAUGGAUAUACUGUGUUUUUUUCUGGCACAGGAAUUGAAUUUCUGUUCUUUUUUUCUGGCCAUGUUAACCCAUCAAUGAUUUCAUUUUUUUAUUUGACGCAACAAAAUAUCUAACAGCAAAGAUUCUGUUAUCAACAGGUUUCCAUGUUUGAGAAAUCGGUUUCAAAAAUGAGAUUGAGUGAUCUCAUGAAGGCAACCAACGACUUCAGUAAUAACAACAUCAUUGGAGCCGGAAGAACAGGACCAAUGUACAAGGCAGUGAUUUCUGAUGGUUGCUUCCUUAUGGUUAAGAGAUUGCAAGACUCUCAGCGUUUAGAGAAAGAGUUUGUAUCAGAGAUGAAGACACUUGGGAAUGUGAAACACCGUAAUUUGGUCCCGCUGCUGGGCUUUUGUGUAGCAAAGAGGGAGAGAUUUUUGGUGUAUAAAUUCAUGGAAAAUGGGACCCUUUAUGAUAAACUGCACCCAGUGGAACCUGAGAUCAGGAACAUGGAUUGGUCCCUGAGGCUCAAAAUUGCAAUUGGAGCGGCUAGAGGUUUGGCAUGGCUUCAUCAUAACUGCAAUCCACGAAUUAUCCACAGGAACAUAAGCUCCAAAUGCAUACUCUUGGAUAACGAUUUUGAGCCAAAGUUAUCUGAUUUUGGCCUUGCCAGACUUAUGAACCCAAUCGACACACAUUUGAGCACUUUCGUCAAUGGGGAGUUUGGGGACAUGGGUUAUGUUGCUCCUGAAUAUCUACGGACACUUGUUGCAACGCCCAAGGGGGAUGUUUAUAGCUUUGGUGUGGUUCUCCUGGAGUUGAUCACUGGUGAAAAGCCCACUCAUGUUGCUAAUGCCCCUGAAAGCUUCAAGGGAAGUUUAGUGGAGUGGAUCAGACAACUGACAGAUGGUCCGCUUCUUCAUACUUCCAUUGACAAGCCUUUGCUUGGAAAUGGAUUCGAUCACGAACUCAACCAAUUUCUUAAAGUUGCUUGUAACUGUGUGGUUGAGAAUGCUAAGGAGAGACCAACAAUGUUUGAGGUGCAUCAGCUCCUCAGAGCUAUUGGGGAGAGAUACCAUUUCACAACUGAAGAUGAUAUUGUGUUGCCAACUGAUACAGGUGACACUGAUUUCCCGGAUGAACUUAUUGUUGCCGAUGCAACAAAGGAAGUUUAAUGAAGAACAGAGGUUAAGAUUGAUNNNNNNNNNNNNNNNNNNNNNNNNNNNNNNNNNNNNNNNNNNNNNNNNNNNNNNNNNNNNNNNNNNNNNNNNNNNNNNNNNNNNNNNNNNNNNNNNNNNNNNNNNNNNNNNNNNNNNNNNNNNNNNNNNNNNNNNNNNNNNNNNNNNNNNNNNNNNNNNNNNNNNNNNNNNNNGCUCAUUUAUCCUCGUACAUAGACAAUUUCUUUGUUGGAUAUUGAGAAUCGAUAAAUAAACUUGCUUAAGUAGUCGAGGUGUUUGUCUGUAAGCCUUUCGGUUUUCUAGUAUUUUCUUUUUAUUUUUCCCCCCAAAGUGAUAUUGUAUCAUAAGCAAGUAUGCAACUUUAUUACUCAGUAAUUUCAAGCAUCCGAGUAUUGUUGCCUGGCCUGGACCCAAAAAGCAGAAUAAGGAGAUCCUUUGUCACCAUGAGGAAGAGUAAUAUUUUUUUUAGAAAUUCUCCAGUUCUUAUAUUUUAUUUUUCUUACAAAAAAAAUACUAAACUUAAAGUUUUUAGUCCAUGUUUUUUUUACAAUGAAUACAGUUACAAACUAGUCCCCAAUAAAAAAAAAUUUCAAUUUAGUGAAGUAGCAUGUCGUUUAACUAAAACUUAGUAGCAUGUCGUUUGACUGAAACUUUUAGUAUCCAAUAAAAAAUGGGAAUGCCAUUUCUGAAGAAUAGAAGGUUUAAGAAUAUGAGAACAAUUGUUUAGGCAAGACUCCUAAAUUUACUCUCGUAUUUGUGUUAAUUAUUCAUUUUUAUUCUUAUGUUUUUUAUUAUGUUUUGUAAAUUUUUUCAGUUAAUCCUAGUGAUUUCUAAUUUUUUCUAAUAAACCCAGUAAUUAACUUACAUUAAGUCUUGAUUUUACUAUGCAUGUCGAUGUAACUUUAUUUAUUUUUCACUCUUGUAUUUUUAAUUCGAUCAAUUAACUUUUGUGUUUUUUGAAGUAGUUUUUUUAAUCAUUGUGUUCUCUGAACGUGUUGGCUUUGACUCAAUACCUGGUUUUUAAAAGGGUGCUGAUUAUUUUUUUAGAUGUUUUUUAAAAGUAUUUUUUUAAUAUAAAAUUAAUAUUUUUUUUAGUGUUUUUUAAUAAUUUUAAUGUAUUUAUAUUAAAAAAUAAAAAAAUUAUUUUAUUAUAUUUUCAAAUAAAAAACACUCUGCAUCAAAGUAUUAAAUACACUCUAAUAAGAAUAUGUUUGAUAUUGUAGUAACAAUUGUUUUUCAAAAUGUUUUUUAUUUGAAAUAUAUCAAAAUUAUAUUUUUUAUAAAAAAAAUUAUUUUUAAUAUUAACAUAUUAAAAUAAUUUAAAAACACUAAAAAUUUAAUUUAAAAUUAAAAAAAUAAUUGUUUUCAAAAAUAGUUUUAAAAUACAAAGUCUACGCUACGGCUUCAUGUUAACCAUGCAUGUUAAUAGUGUUGAAAUUAAAUACUUUUUAUCGCGAGAUGACUUUUAUAUUCAUAUGGGNNNNNNNNNNNNNNNNNNNNNNNNNNNNNNNNNNNNNNNNNNNNNNNNNNNNNNNNNNNNNNNNNNNNNNNNNNNNNNNNNNNNNNNNNNNNNNNNNNNNNNNNNNNNNNAACACACGCAUGAUAUUUCAUUGUCUCGAAGAAAAAAAUAAAGAGACAGACUGGCGGCUAUGAGAAAUCCAGCGUGAGAGGAAAGAGAGGAGAAACUGCAUUGCUUUGCACUUUGCAGAGUUGAUCAUCCCAGGAUUGGACACGCAACCAAUGGCAGUCAAUGCCAUGAUUGCCGCGAAGAAAUGACAGGGAGCCAAAAAAAUGUUAGAACGUAGAGGACCAGAUUAUAAUUAAUAAGUAUUUUUGUCGAAAAAAAUGUUAUUUGUAACAAUGUUUUAUAUUUACCGGAAAGUAAUUUUUUUAGAGAGUGAUUUUUUUUAGAAAAUAGAUUUUUCAACAAAAAUUAUUUUUUAAUAUUUAAUAGGAUCAUAAAAAAAAUAAGUUGGAAAAUAUUUUUAGUAUUUGGUUAUGUAAUAAAAAAUAAGUUGGAAAACAUCUUAUUAAUAAAUGUUUUUUAAGUUUAUUAAAAUAAUAAGAAAUAAAUCUUACAAAUAAAAAAUUUGAAUAAGAAUAAAAUUUUAAAAAAUAUAUCUAAUUUCAUAAAUUAUUUUACAUAAAAUAAAUAAUAAUUAAAAUAAUAAAGAUCAAGUGUAAUAGAUAAAAAAUUAAAAAAUUAAAAAAUUAAAAAAAAUACAAUGAAAAAAAGUUAAAGCUGUUGAUGAUUUAUCCCAUUAUAUUUAUCCAAUUAUUAAGAUUUUAUAAAUUAUUUUAAAUAAAAUAAAUAACAAUCAAAAGAAUAAAGAUUAAAUCUGAUAGAUAAAAAGUUUCAAUUAAAAAUAUAUAUAAUAAUCAAAAAUUAGAGAACUAAAUUUGAUAUAGUCAGUAAAUAACAUGACAUUUCUAAAUUUUUUACAACUUCUGAAAAAUAUUUUUCCGUCUAAAAUAGAAAGAACAUAUUUUUUCCGAAAACAAAGCUAAUUUUUUUAAAAAAAAUAUUUUUUAUUUAUUAACUUUUUUAAUAAUAAAUACACACAUAAAAGUUUUAAAAAAUAAUUUUAAAAAACCACUUUCUAUGAAAGUAACCUUGACAGUGAAAUCAUCGUUAUUAAAUAACUGCCUUUGUUAUAAAAAAAUAUCAUAUGAAAUUUUAUUGUCUCGGAUCUGUAAAUAAACGUCAUUUUAUGUUUAUUUUUUCAUUUUUUUUUAUCACCACAUCCUUAAAAAUUAAAAAUUUAUGUGUCAUGUUUUUACAUCAUGAAUUUUUUGUUAUGUAUAUCUUGAUUAGAGAUGAGAAAAAAACUGAAAAACCGAUUAAACCUAGAUAACUAGAAAAAAAAUAAUUAAAAAAACCAAAUCAUGAAAAAAAAAUCAUUUAAAUCAAUUAAAAUUUUAUAAAAAUUUUGAAAACCAGAAAUUUUUAUUAGGUAUAUCUUGAUCUCUUGUUUUUUUUUUAGAAAUUCUCUUCAGUUCCUGUAUUUUAUUUUUCCUGCAAAAAAAAUUUCUUAGCUUAAAGUUUUUAGUCCAUGUUUUUUUACAAUGAAUACAGUUACAAACUAGUCCCCAAUAAUUUUAUUUUUUCAAUUUAGUUCUUAAAUAUCAAAUCAUAAACUUUGUCGAGAUUCUUCAAAUAGAUAUAAAUUAUUAUAGGAAACAAAAGUAAACAAAAUCACAAUAAUAUCAAUCACAGUCAUGAAAAGUAAUCACAUCCAUGACCAAUUGAACCAAUAAAAAAUUAUCAAGAAAUUCAAGUACCGUUACGAGACAAAUUCGUUCUUAUAAUAUCAUAUAUUUAUUAUACUAUUUUUCUGCUUUUAUUUUUCAUCUCAACUUCUUUGGACUAAAAGCAGGAAAUAAUUUUUUGCAGGAGGAAGGAAAUUCUUAGAGUAAAUAUCGAUAUUACAUUAAAUAAAAUCUAUUUUUUAAACGAGCACAUCUAUUUAAAUUUAUCUAACCCUUACUUUAUUCAUCAAUUCAUUUAAAUUAUUUGAUAAAUUCUGAAUGUUAGAUGUCAUCAUCUAGAUUGAUGAAAAUACAAGAAAUUCAAACCUAACCUAGUUUAUUAAAAAAAAAUCAUGUAAAAAAUAAAUUUGAACAUAACAAGACAUUUCUUUAAUAAAUAAGGUGGGAUUUGAGUUUUUUAAGUAAGUGUUUGCAAGAAAAUAUAUAUUAGAAGAAUAUAUUGGAGAAUAACUUAAUAAAUAUAAAUUAAGAACAAUUAGACUUGUAAAGAUAGAUUUGAGAUGGAUCUAAAAUAUAAAAAUAAACUGAAAUAAUUUUUAUAAAAAAAGAAAAUCCUAUUUGUUUGGUUUAUAAAUAUGACACGAAAUCCAACCCAGUCCAUGUUAUCGGGAUGGGAAUUAGUCAAAUAUCCUUACUUCUUUUCCGAGGGACUGGAAACACAUGCUAGAUAUGAUAAUUUUUCUAGUGAGAGUAAUUCCUUUGCAUUUUAUAUUCUAUUUCUCACUACUUUGACAAGAAUCCUGUGGUUAAAACAUCACAAGUUCCUUUUUUAUUAUUAUUAUUAUUAUUAGUGGUUAAAAAGCAAGGAUGAUACUAGUGAUCUAAAAAGGAGAAGUAGCCAAGAAAUAAUGGCAUGAGGUUGUCAAUGGUGCGAAUAUGAAAUGGACUAGCCCAAGACUUAUCCCUGUGCUCAGUUUGAACCCGGCGACAGAAAUUGUGGUGAGAUUAAUGAGUGAAUAUGAAUGAAUGGCUUAACUGAAGGGGAAAGACUCAUUCAACACAGCUUGCCUGAUCCGUAAGGAGUUCAGUGUUCACAACUUCCCAUUAGCACAAAGAAAUUGUUUUGAUGUGACUUUAUUAGAGGAGAGGUCAUGACUCAUGCCUGGCCAAGCCCAUCGUGCAAGCAACCAAGCAACCAGAGAAAGUAGGGCUGUGUGUGUGUGUGUGUGUGUGUGUGUUAUUACAAGAUGGUUUGUUUUCAUGUCGAACAGUCAAUUCAUUACCACUACCCGACUCAUCAGUUUUCCACAGAUUAGAACAGUUCUGCGCGUCAUUGGUCCGAAUUUUCAAACCAAAGACUUUUCUCCAUUCACUUUUUUCACUUUGGACCCUUGUGUGUGCUUCGGGUUGUUGGAAAGCAAGAAGACUUGUACAUUAAAGUCUUCUUUGAAGGGGAAAAAAAAAUGAUGUUUCCUACCUCUUUCUCUUGUUAAAAUCAAAUCAACUCAACCCCAUCUCCACGUUUUCAGUGUUAUAAUAACUGUGUUCUUUCUCUUCAUUUUUUUCCUCAUUCUCCUUGCAGCAUUCUUCUUGCUUGGUGACUUCUUAUAUGCUCCACACUUCCAUUUCAUCAUCAUCAUCAUCUUCAUCUGGGUAUGUCUCAAAUCUUGUUUUCUUUCAGUGAAUCUCUGAGAUAAGUGAAUUGGGAUUUUAGUGGAUUGUUUAAGAUUCGAGGUUGUUUGUUUGUUGACUUCUCUUUUGCUUUUUCCAAAUUACAUAUUGUUCUGGUGGAUCACUAGUAAAAUUGGAUUGUGUUUUUGGUGGAGUAGUUAGACCUUCUUUCUUGGAUAUAUAGAGAUGGGUUUGAGUGUUUUAUUUAGUAGUACAACUUAGCGAGAACCCUUCACUUUGUAGAUUCCGUUUUGGGCCAGGGACAGAAAGUUUGAGGAUUUUUUUCCCCUUGCUAAUGGCAUUGAGCGAGAAAAAUCCUAUGGUUGUUGCCCAUAUUUUGAUUGGGAUGGUUUUGGUUUUGCUGAGUAGUAGAAUAUCUGUGAGUAAUGCUACUGAGACUGAUUUAGCGUGCUUGAAAUCCAUCAAAGCUUCUCUGGUGGACCCUAAUAACUACUUGAACACUACAUGGAAUUUCAACAACAAUACUGAAGGCUUCAUAUGUAGAUUUAUGGGCAUUGAUUGCUGGCACCCUGACGAGAACAGAGUUCUAAAUAUCCGCCUUUCAGACUUGGGUCUUGAGGGCCAGUUCCCCCUUGGAAUCAAGAAUUGCACAAGCUUGACUGGCUUGGAUCUUUCGCACAACAAGCUAUCUGGCUCAAUCCCUGAUAAUAUCUCAGAUCUUAUCCACUAUAUUACAAACCUUGAUCUUUCAUUCAACAAUUUUUCGGGUGGAAUUCCAAAAAAUCUUGCAAAUUGUAGUUUCUUGAAUGAUCUCAAACUUGACAACAACCGGCUAACAGGCAAGAUUCCGCUGGAACUUGGCCUUCUUGAUCGGAUCAAGGAAUUUACGGUUACCAACAAUCUUCUAUCAGGGCAGAUCCCCUCAUUUGUCCAUAAUAACAUCCCAGCUGAUAGCUUUGCAAAUAAUCUGGACCUCUGUGGAAAGCCAUUGAGUACCUGUCCAGCUGUCGCGAGGAAAUCCCAUGUUGGAGUAAUUGCUGCAUCAGCCGCUGGCGGGAUAACAUUUACAUCAAUUAUUGUUGGUGUCUUUCUGUUCUACUUGUCUCGCGGAGCGGCUAAGAAGAAGGCGGAGGAUCCUGAAGGUAACAGAUGGGCAAAGAGCAUCAAGGGAACCAAAGGCAUCAAGGCAAGCUAUCUAGCUCAUCAUGUUCAAUGGAUAUACUGUGUUUUUUUCUGGCACAGGAAUUGAAUUUCUGUUCUUUUUUUCUGGCCAUGUUAACCCAUCAAUGAUUUCAUUUUUUUAUUUGACGCAAC